UACGUAGGGUGCAAGCGUUGUCCGGAAUUAUUGGGCGUAAAGAGCUUGUAGGCGGUUUGUCGCGUCUGCUGUGAAAUUUCGGGGCUCAACCCCGAACUUGCAGUGGGUACGGGCAGACUAGAGUGUGGUAGGGGAGACUGGAAUUCCUGGUGUAGCGGUGAAAUGCGCAGAUAUCAGGAGGAACACCGAUGGCGAAGGCAGAUCUCUGGGCCGUAACUGACGCUGAGGAGCGAAAGCAUGGGGAGCGAACAGG
This 253-nucleotide ribosomal RNA is filed under the name uncultured bacterium. RNAcentral's name for it is "partial 16S ribosomal RNA". It matches the Rfam family "Bacterial small subunit ribosomal RNA", at positions 524 to 776 of the family's 1533-position model. The record is from RNAcentral.